AUGCAGUCAGGGGCAGCGGGAGUAGCAAUACUUGCCGGCGACCGGCGCAANNNUGNNNAACGCGUGAGCAACAUGCCCGUAUCAGGGGGAUAAUCCAUGGAAACGUGGUCUAAUACCCCAUAGUAAGUUUUUGAGGCAUCUCAAAGAUUUUAAAGCUUUGGUGGAUACGGAUUGGCUCGCGUGACAUUAGCUAGAUGGUAGGGUAACGGCUUACCAUGGCUACGAUGUCUAGGGGUUCUGAGAGGAAGGUCCCCCACACUGGAACUGAGACACGGUCCAGACUCCUACGGGAGGCAGCAGUGAGGAAUAUUGGACAAUGGAUGGAAAUCUGAUCCAGCCAUGCCGCGUGCAGGAAGACGGCCCUAUGGGUUGUAAACUGCUUUUGUAUGGGAGCAAUAAGAUCUACGUGUAGAUUGAUGAGAGUACCAUACGAAUAAGCACCGGCUAACUCCGUGCCAGCAGCCGCGGUAAUACGGAGGGUGCAAGCGUUAUCCGGAUUUAUUGGGUUUAAAGGGUGCGUAGGCGGUUUGAUAAGUCAGCGGUGAAAUAUUUCAGCUUAACUGGAAGGGUGCCGUUGAUACUGUCAGGCUUGAAUUUAGUUGCUGUGGGUGGAAUGUGUGGUGUAGCGGUGAAAUGCAUAGAUAUCACACAGAAUAUCGAUUGCGAAGGCAGCUCACAAAGCUAAUAUUGACGCUGAUGCACGAAAGUGUGGGGAUCAAACAGGAUUAGAUACCCUGGUAGUCCACACUGUAAACGAUGAUAACUCGCUGUCGGCGAUACACAGCCG
Molecule: ribosomal RNA, 787 nt
Filed under: uncultured bacterium
Lineage: Bacteria
Description: bacterial SSU rRNA
Rfam family: Bacterial small subunit ribosomal RNA
Source: RNAcentral